GCUGGUUUUGAUAUCAAUCCCAUUGUUGUCUUAAGGAUGUUUGCUUGUCAUGUUUUUGGAUUUUAGUCACAUUUUAGAAAUCCGCUGGUUUAAGCCAUUUUAAUACCUUUAAAAAUUUGCCCAUAAACCCCCAUUUUUUUUUUUUUUUUUUAAUUAUAAGCCAUUUGUUAAAGUCUUAUAAAAUCUUAUUUAUUUUUUAAUAGUUUUUGAGAACUUUAACUGGUCAAUG
This 229-nucleotide long non-coding RNA is filed under the name Mytilus galloprovincialis (Mediterranean mussel). Lineage: Eukaryota; Metazoa; Mollusca; Bivalvia; Mytilida; Mytilidae. The record is from RNAcentral.